RNAcentral lists this ribosomal RNA (296 nucleotides) under Spenceriella cormieri. RNAcentral's name for it is "partial 12S ribosomal RNA". The record is from RNAcentral. Lineage: Eukaryota; Metazoa; Annelida; Clitellata; Crassiclitellata; Megascolecidae.
CAAAGAUCUUGGCGGUGUCUUAUAAAACCAGGGGAACCUGUUUCAUAACUCGAUAAUCCACGAUUACCCAACCUCUUUUUGAAAUCCAACUUGUGUACUGCCGUUGUAAGCAUACCUUUAAAAGAUUAAGUAUACCACUAUGACUCAUAAACACUUUAACUCAUCUACAUCAGGUCAAAGUGCAGUUUAUAAAGAGGAGAUAAUGGGUUACAACCUAAAAAAAGACAUGAAUUAAAAAAUAAAAAAUGUUAUGAAAGUGGACUUGGCUGUAAUCUAAAAGUACAGAAAAAAAUUGA